Molecule: long non-coding RNA, 474 nt
Organism: Hordeum vulgare subsp. vulgare (domesticated barley)
Lineage: Eukaryota; Viridiplantae; Streptophyta; Magnoliopsida; Poales; Poaceae
Exons: 2
Source: RefSeq, a predicted model, not a curated record
AAAAUCCUCCUUCUGAUUUUCAGAUUUAAAUCACAGUCUUUCAGACAAUAUGAAAAUCAUAGUUCAGAUUUAUAUAAUUAUUAUUUUUAUGCGUAGAUGGAAAAAUAGGGAUGCAAUACGAGGAUGGUACCUAAUACUGAUUAAAAAACUGCUCUGGAUCCUGAUACUAUAUCUGGCUGCUAUUAGCACAAAGCAUAUAUUUUUUCCGUAAAGCGAAACGAAUUUAUUAAGGCUGAUAUUCUGAUUAUAAUUUUUUAUCUCUUUGUUUCCUGUUAUCUUUUGUGGGGGUCCUUGUCUGGUCAUCUGCAUGUGACUGCGUUCUACUUGUGCUUGAUGCUGUGUUGGCUCAAUAGUCUAUCCGGGGGCUUAUGAGAAAGAGGAGGCAGCUACUCGUGCGUAUGACCUUGCAGCUCUCAAAUAUUGGGGGCCUGAAACCACACUGAAUUUCACGGUACGUUUUGCUGCUCUUGGAAA